Centruroides sculpturatus (bark scorpion) is the source of this 240-nucleotide long non-coding RNA. RefSeq lists it as uncharacterized. Lineage: Eukaryota; Metazoa; Arthropoda; Arachnida; Scorpiones; Buthidae. The transcript is spliced from 3 exons. The record is from RefSeq and is a predicted model, not a curated record.
CCGUUACGGACACGCGACUAAAUAUUACAUUUAAAAUUAUUAUGGUGUGUGUUGCUUUCGUCAUUUUCGUCUACUGUUAUUUCGUGUCCAGUGUCACAGUAAACGAUGAAAAUAUCUUUAUAGAAAUUUACAGUUUGUAUUUUAAAACUAACAGAACAAAAGACAUCAAUAUGAUUUACAGUAUGAUGAAUCUCUGUACGGAACAGGAACUAGCAUUAAAAUUGUUUACUCAGAUUCCAG